This 400-nucleotide ribosomal RNA is filed under the name uncultured bacterium. RNAcentral describes it as "bacterial SSU rRNA". It matches the Rfam family "Bacterial small subunit ribosomal RNA", at positions 355 to 747 of the family's 1533-position model. The record is from RNAcentral.
UAGGGAAUCUUCCGCAAUGGGCGAAAGCCUGACGGAGCAAUGCCGCGUGAGUGAAGAAGGCCUUCGGGUCGUAAAACUCUGUUAUAAGAGAAGAACAAAUUGUAGAGUAACUGCUACAGUCUUGACGGUAUCUUAUCAGAAAGCCACGGCUAACUACGUGCCAGCAGCCGCGGUAAUACGUAGGUGGCAAGCGUUGUCCGGAUUUAUUGGGCGUAAAGGGAGCGCAGGUGGUUUCUUAAGUCUGAUGUGAAAGCCCACGGCUUAACCGUGGAGGGUCAUUGGAAACUGGGAAACUUGAGUACAGAAGAGGAAUGUGGAACUCCAUGUGUAGCGGUGGAAUGCGUAGAUAUAUGGAAGAACACCAGUGGCGAAGGCGACAUUCUGGUCUGUUACUGACACU